RNAcentral lists this ribosomal RNA (492 nucleotides) under uncultured Blastopirellula sp. Its description in RNAcentral is "bacterial SSU rRNA". It matches the Rfam family "Bacterial small subunit ribosomal RNA", at positions 565 to 1050 of the family's 1533-position model. Lineage: Bacteria; Pseudomonadati; Planctomycetota; Planctomycetia; Pirellulales; Pirellulaceae. The record is from RNAcentral.
GGGUGCGUAGGCUGCACGGAAAGUUGGGUGUGAAAGCCCUCAGCUCAACUGAGGAAUUGCAUCCAAAACUGCCGUGCUUGAGGGAGACAGAGGUGAGCGGAACUCAAGGUGGAGCGGUGAAAUGCGUUGAUAUCUUGAGGAACACCGGUGGCGAAAGCGGCUCACUGGGUCUCUUCUGACGCUGAGGCACGAAAGCUAAGGUAGCAAACGGGAUUAGAUACCCCGGUAGUCUUAGCUGUAAACGAUGAGCACUUGAUUGGAGGGUCCUCCAUAGCCUUCCAGUCGUAGCGAAAGUGUUAAGUGCUCCGCCUGGGGAGUAUGGUCGCAAGGCUGAAACUCAAAGAAAUUGACGGGGGCUCACACAAGCGGUGGAGGAUGUGGCUUAAUUCGAGGCUACGCGAAGAACCUUAUCCUAGUCUUGACAUGUAUGGAUUAACCCUGUGAAAGCAGGGCCACGCCUUCGGGUGGAACAUACACAGGUGCUGCAUGGCU